RNAcentral lists this ribosomal RNA (490 nucleotides) under uncultured bacterium. RNAcentral describes it as "bacterial SSU rRNA". It matches the Rfam family "Bacterial small subunit ribosomal RNA", at positions 27 to 507 of the family's 1533-position model. The record is from RNAcentral.
CGGAUGAACGCUAGCGACAGGCCUAACACAUGCAAGUCGAGGGGCAGCACGGUGUAGCAAUACACGGGUGGCGACCGGCGCACGGGUGAGUAACGCGUAUGCAACCUGCCUACUACAAGGGGAUAACCCGUUGAAAGACGGACUAAUACCCUAUAACACAGGGAAUCCGCAUGGAUAUAUUUGUUAAAGAUUUAUCGGUAGUAGAUGGGCAUGCGUUCCAUUAGCUUGUUGGUGAGGUAACGGCUCACCAAGGCAACGAUGGAUAGGGGAACUGAGAGGUUGAUCCCCCACACUGGAACUGAGACACGGUCCAGACUCCUACGGGAGGCAGCAGUGAGGAAUAUUGGUCAAUGGACGAGAGUCUGAACCAGCCAAGUCGCGUGAAGGAAGACGGCCCUACGGGUUGUAAACUUCUUUUGUAAGGGAAUAAAUAGUCUUACGCGCUAAGACGUUGCAGGUACCUUACGAAUAAGGAUCGGCUAACUCCGUG